Molecule: long non-coding RNA, 1513 nt
Organism: Aphidius gifuensis
Lineage: Eukaryota; Metazoa; Arthropoda; Insecta; Hymenoptera; Braconidae
Exons: 8
Source: RefSeq, a predicted model, not a curated record
AAUAAUUGUUAAUUAAUUAUAAAUUGUUGUUAAAUCAAUUAAUUAAAUUUUUCUGAAUAAAAUGUGCUAUAAAUUAUUAGGAUAUUUGGUGAAUUUUGGCCUCAAUCAAUGGACAUGUCAUGGUUCUUGGAGCUGACAAAGGCAGCUAUUUAUUUUUUAAAUAAUAAACAAAUGAUUUUCCUCAACAGAUUGUGCUAUGAAUUUUUCUUGGCUUUUGUGAAAUUUGGCAAAAUUUAAUGGACAUGUCAAUGGCAUUGGAACCGACGAAGGCAAAUCUUUAUUUGGCAAAUACCUGACAAAUGAUAUAUAACAAAAAGUGUGGGUAAAUAUCUGAUGUGCUUAUGCAAUUAAUCAAAAAACAUUAUUAAAAAUGAAACUAAAUGACUUAAUUGGUUUGUCAUUGGAGUCAUGAUCGUUUUUGAGUACAUUAGAUCAAAUUCAUUCAUGCUAAAAAUACAUGUAACAUGAGAUUUACACAAUGAAAAAAGAAGUGUAAACAAGCAGGACUGCUUAAAUGCUAACAUACAAAAUAAAUAAUACCCAGCAAAUGAUUAUCAUAUAGUGCUAAAUUUGUCAUAAAGUACGAAAAAAAGUCAUCAAGAUCAUCUACAUAAUAUUGUGCUUCAAUAAUGAUGAGUCCUUGAUAUAAUAUUAAUUAAGACUUAAUAUUUCAACAAAAGGACGACCAAUAAUUAUUUAGAUAAAUAUUUUUGAAAUAUCCUUGAAUAUUUCAAAGUUGGGCAAGUCUGGACAUAAACCACUAUAUUUACAAUCUCAAAUUUUCUCAGAUGUAGAAAAAAAAAGAAAUUAUUUGGAUAAAUGUCAUCAUAAAAGACGAAUAAAAAAGCUCUUGAGUUUUUAUUGACACACAUUGUGCAUUUACAAUCUAUAAUAACAACAGAUUGUCAUUGUACCAAUUGAGACAAGUGAUGUAACUGUGUUGUGUUAAAAGACGAAGAAAAAAAUGUAAUGGGCUCAUUUGAUAAAUAAAUUGAUCACGAUUAUCAAGACAAGCUAUUUGAAAAUAAGUCUAAACAAGUAACAAAUCGUGAUUUUUUACACUGGUACUUUAUGAAGAAGAAUUAAAUUAACAUUAAACACAAAGUCAUGUCAAAUAACAAAUGUUGAUGUACUAAAUAUAACGAGUGAAAUGAAGUGGUGGUGUGCUGAACGACAGAGAUGAAAGUGUAAUGGAGCAAGUGGAUGGAUAAGCUAGCUACAUAUUUUAUCACGAUCAUCAGAAAAGUCAAGUUAUGAAAAUGAUAGUGAUGAUGCUCAUCGUGAUAAAAGGUAUGUUGAAUUCAGUUUUCCUUCGCAAAUCAGCGAAUAUUUACAAAGAUUUAAAAUACGAUUCGGUAUAUUGAUGACUUUGUUAACAAUGCAUUGCAUUUAACAAACAUCUAAUCAAAGACCUGUUUUGCGUUCUAAUCGGUUCGUUAGAGCUAAGAAAAAGCGUUAUUCUAUAAAUUUAUAAUUUUUAAUUAUAAAUUUGCGAAGUAAAAGAACUCAAAAU